AGAGAGAGACAUGCGUGCAUAUCAAUAAGCGGAGGAAAAGAAACUAACUAGGAUUCCCUCAGUAACGGCGAGUGAAGCGGGAAGAGCUCAAAUUUGAAAUCUUCAAGGUUCUACCUUGACGAAUUGUAGUUUAAAGAAGUGUUUUCUGUUGGAGUUUUGGUAAAAGUUCUUUGGAAUAGGACAUCAUAGAGGGUGAGAAUCCCGUAUUUGACCAUUAUUUCCAGCUUUGUGAUACACUUUCAAAGAGUCGGAUUGUUUGGGAAUGCAGUCCAAAAUGGGUGGUAAAUUUCAUCUAAAGCUAAAUACUGGCGAGAGACCGAUAGCGAACAAGUACCGUGAGGGAAAGAUGAAAAGAACUUUGAAAAGAGAGUUAAACAGUACGUGAAAUUGUCAAAAGGGAAGCGUUUGACACCAGUGUUGUUUUCUCGAAAAUCAAUUAAAAAAGGCAGGAUUUUGUGUUGUAUUGACUUUAUCAGCUUUCUGCACUCUUUUCUUGUCUUUUUUAAUGCACUUUUCGUUUAACAAGUCAACAUCAAUUUCUUUUGUUGUAAAAGGGUCAUUGGAAGGUGGCUUUCUUUUCGGAGAAAGUGUUUAUAGCCUUUGGCCUCUGCAAUCGGAGAGAUUGAGGUCUGCAGCGUAGAUCCUUCGGGGUUAGAUACAUUUGUGCUGAGUUAUAGCCUUUCAUAGACAACUUGUUGACUACGAUCAGUCAUGUAGCUUACUCGCUUAUGCUAUUUUACCUACGCUUAGGAUGUUGAUGUGAUACUGCGAGCA
RNAcentral lists this ribosomal RNA (774 nucleotides) under uncultured Neocallimastigales. RNAcentral's name for it is "partial large subunit ribosomal RNA". It matches the Rfam family "Eukaryotic large subunit ribosomal RNA", at positions 23 to 639 of the family's 3401-position model. The record is from RNAcentral. Lineage: Eukaryota; Fungi; Neocallimastigomycota; Neocallimastigomycetes; Neocallimastigales.